ACACAUGCAAGUCGAGGGGCAGCGCGGGAUAGCAAUAUCCUGGCGGCGACCGGCGGAAGGGUGCGUAACGCGUGAGCGACAUGCCCGUUGCCCGGGGACAACCGGUGGAAACGCCGACUAAUCCCCGAUGGGAUAUUGUGCCGCAUGGCACGAUAUUGAAAGUUACGGCGGCGACGGAUUGGCUCGCGUCCGAUUAGCUUGUUGGCGGGGUAACGGCCCACCAAGGCUACGAUCGGUAGGGGUUCUGAGAGGAAGGCCCCCCACAAUGGGACUGAGACACGGCCCAUACUCCUACGGGAGGCAGCAGUGAGGAAUAUUGGUCAAUGGGCGGAAGCCUGAACCAGCCAUGCCGCGUGCGGGAAGGAGGCCCUAUGGGCUGUGAACCGCUUUUGCCUGGGGGCAAUAAGGGCGUCGCGCACGCCCGAUGAGAGUACCAGGCGAAUAAGCAUCGGCUAACUCCGUGCCAGCAGCCGCGGUAAUGCGGGGGAUGCGAGCGUUAUCCGGAUUCAUUGGGUUUAAAGGGUGCGUAGGCUGUGCGUCAAGUCGGGGGUGAAAUUCCGGUGCUCAACACCGGGGCUGCCCUUGAUACUGUCGCGCUGGAGUGCGGAUGCCGCCGGAGGAAUGAGUGGUGUAGCGGUGAAAUGCUUAGAUAUCACUCAGAACACCGAUUGCGAAGGCAUCUGGCGAAUCCGUAACUGACGCUGAGGCACGAAAGCGUGGGGAUAGAACAGGAUUAGAUACCCUGGUACUCCACGCCGUAAACGAUGAUGGCUAACCGCCGGCGACACACUGUCGGUGGCCAAGCGAAAGCGAUAAGCC
RNAcentral lists this ribosomal RNA (819 nucleotides) under uncultured bacterium. RNAcentral describes it as "bacterial SSU rRNA". It matches the Rfam family "Bacterial small subunit ribosomal RNA", at positions 51 to 866 of the family's 1533-position model. The record is from RNAcentral.